GUCAAAAAUAGAUUUCCCUUUCUUUCCAAAUUGUAGCAAAAAAUAACCACAUGCCUUUCUUGGACUCCUGACUCUCACCCCAAAGGGUUUUCUUGUAUAGGGACCAACAAUUCCUUGGAUGGAAACACUGGAUAGGCUAGUCAUUAUUUAGAGAUUUAGAAGAUUGCAGAUUCUUGGCAGACCUUGGUUGUUUUUCUAGUAGUAGGCAAGCGGUAGGACAAAAAUCAAGAAGCAGAUCCAUGUGGCUGGGUUUGGGUUCCUCCUGAACAGAUGAGAGGAGGCUGAAAAUUCUGAUGUUCAUUGGACACAGCUUCCUAGAGGGUCUUCACUGGAGACGUGAUGAAUCACGUGGCCGCCCUCUCCUCCUCCUGCCCGUGACUCCUGUCUGCUGGGCUCACUCUCCAAAAUAACUUUCCUUUACAAAAGCCCUUGUCAUAGGCUCUGCUUUCUGUGAGGAAUCCCAGCUAAGAUGCUAAAGCAAUAUACAAGGAUGAAGACAUGAAGAUGAGUUGUUAAGGGACUGGCAGGGUUGUCCAUCUCUGUGAAGGGGGUUCAAAGAGGUGUUUGGGAAGCGCUGGCCCCGAUGACCAUUGGAAUCACAGCAUGAAGAGUGAGAGUGGUCAGGUCCCCAUCCAGCUCUAACGGGUUUAUGAGUUUCUGAGUUUUCCACGAAGAACAGCAGAAGAUCCCCAAGACUUUCCAGCCUGUUGAACUUCUGCACGUGUGACACCGAGGAGAAGCAGAGAGGCAAACAAACCAGAGCAUUUUCACAAACAUUCAGAAAUCCCACAGUCUCAGCAGACUUCGGCACUAUUUCUAGAUCUAAUUAUAAAACCGCAAGUGAUGCUGGCCUAUUCCAGGGAAAUUGUUGAUCUCACUCCAGGCGUGGUCUCUGUCUACAGGUAAAGGUGGGGGAGACUCAGGCAGGGAUGGCUUCUUUGCUUCUGUCAUGAUCCACGCCUGGCUGAUGCAAAGGGAAACGCAGCCUUUGCAUCAACCAAGUUGUUGGCUAGAUGCUCAGGAUUCUGAAAACCUAGUUACCUCCCUGUACCUCUCUGUACCUGCAUGAUCUAGUCCAGUAGCUCUCAAAGGGUGAUCCCUGGGUGAGACCGUCUUUUUCUGAAAGCAAAUUUUCCACAGGAGGGAGGUUAGAAAUGCCAACUUUUGGAUCCCACCCCAGCAGUCUGUUCAGACAAGCCUUCCAGGUGAUUCUGCUGCUGGCUCAAGUUUGAAAACCCCUGCCCUGGGCGUUUUCCUUCCCAGCCUGGCUUUUGAGAUUUGGUGGCCUUCCCUGUUGAUUUCACACCCCUGCCCAGAGAAUAGGCUUAGAGAACAAAAGAAACCUUGAAUAGCCAAGAGAUGAGAAAGGGGCUCGGACCGUAUAGGUAGUAGCUACCCACUUUACAAACAGACUAUGUUCUGGACCUUGGAAGUGAGCUGUUUUCCUGGGAAUGAGAGGUAGGUUCCCACAACCGCACACAAAGGCAUAUUUCAUCCUGAAUCCAGCUGAAAUACUGCUGCAUCGCAAUGAGGUAGAGCAGAUCGCAGUGCUCCCAUAGGGCUGGAAAGCAAUCAACGCAAAAUAAAGCAAUGAAUGAUACACA
Non-coding RNA from Vicugna pacos (alpaca), 1604 nucleotides. Lineage: Eukaryota; Metazoa; Chordata; Mammalia; Artiodactyla; Camelidae. The record is from RefSeq and is a predicted model, not a curated record.